Molecule: ribosomal RNA, 468 nt
Filed under: uncultured bacterium
Lineage: Bacteria
Description: partial 16S ribosomal RNA
Rfam family: Bacterial small subunit ribosomal RNA
Source: RNAcentral
GACGAACGCUGGCGGCGUGCUUAACACAUGCAAGUCGAACGGAAAGGCCCUGCUUUUGUGGGGUGCUCGAGUGGUGAACGGGUGAGUAACACGUGAGUAACCUGCCCUUGACUUUGGGAUAACUUCAGGAAACUGGGGCUAAUACCGGAUAGGAGCUCCUGCUGCAUGGUGGGGGUUGGAAAGUUUCGGCGGUUGGGGAUGGACUCGCGGCUUAUCAGCUUGUUGGUGGGGUAGUGGCUUACCAAGGCUUUGACGGGUAGCCGGCCUGAGAGGGUGACCGGCCACAUUGGGACUGAGAUACGGCCCAGACUCCUACGGGAGGCAGCAGUGGGGAAUAUUGCACAAUGGGCGGAAGCCUGAUGCAGCAACGCCGCGUGCGGGAUGACGGCCUUCAGGUUGUAAACCGCUUUCGCCUGUGACGAAGCGUGAGUGACGGUAAUGGGUAAAGAAGCACCGGCUAACUACGUG